RNAcentral lists this ribosomal RNA (602 nucleotides) under Naganishia diffluens. Its description in RNAcentral is "eukaryotic LSU rRNA". It matches the Rfam family "Eukaryotic large subunit ribosomal RNA", at positions 49 to 655 of the family's 3401-position model. Lineage: Eukaryota; Fungi; Basidiomycota; Tremellomycetes; Filobasidiales; Filobasidiaceae. The record is from RNAcentral. RNAcentral also lists the same sequence under 1 other name.
AGCGGAGGAAAAGAAACUAACAAGGAUUCCCCUAGUAACGGCGAGUGAAGCGGGAAGAGCUCAAAUUUGAAAUCUAGUAGCCUUCGGCUGCUCGAGUUGUAAUCUAGAGAAGUGUUUUCCGUGCCGGCCCAUGUACAAGUCCCUUGGAACAGGGCGUCAUAGAGGGUGAGAAUCCCGUCCUUGACAUGGACCCCCGGUGCUCUGUGAUACACUUUCAACGAGUCGAGUUGUUUGGGAAUGCAGCUCAAAAUGGGUGGUGAAUUCCAUCUAAAGCUAAAUAUUGGCGAGAGACCGAUAGCGAACAAGUACCGUGAGGGAAAGAUGAAAAGCACUUUGGAAAGAGAGUUAAACAGUACGUGAAAUUGUUGAAAGGGAAACGAUUGAAGUCAGUCAUGCUCUUUGGUAUUUAUAUCAUUGAGUGGGGUCAACAUCAGUUUUGAGCGAUGGAUAAAGGCACUAGGAAGGUAGCACUCUCGGGUGAACUUAUAGCCUAGCGUCAUAUACAUUGUUUGGGACUGAGGAACGCAGCAUGCCUUUAUGGCCGGGAUUCGUCCACGUACAUGCUUAGGAUGUUGACAUAAUGGCUUUAAACGACCCGUCUU